This 309-nucleotide ribosomal RNA is filed under the name Triticum aestivum (bread wheat). RNAcentral describes it as "partial small subunit ribosomal RNA". The record is from RNAcentral. Lineage: Eukaryota; Viridiplantae; Streptophyta; Magnoliopsida; Poales; Poaceae.
AUGGACCGUGUGGAUAGCUCGAGCACGUCUCGUGUAAGAGGAAAGAAUAAAAGGAAUUGGUCUUCCGAUGAGGACGAUGAGCUUAUUAAAGAUUUGUAUGAGUUAUCUUUGGACCCGAGGUGGAAAGGUGAUGGUGACUUCAGGGGUGGAUACCUGGGGAUAUUGGAAAAGCAUCUUGCUGAAAAGUGUCCAAUCCAUGGUAUCACUGCAUCUCCGCACAUUGAAUCAAGAGUGAGGCACUUCAGGAAGAAAUUUGAUGUCGUUGAAGUAAUUCUAUCCAAAAGUGGUUUCACAUGGGAUGGAAGUUGA